RNAcentral lists this transfer RNA (72 nucleotides) under Caudoviricetes sp. Its description in RNAcentral is "tRNA-Pro". It matches the Rfam family "tRNA". From Rfam's summary of the family: Transfer RNA (tRNA) molecules are approximately 80 nucleotides in length. Their secondary structure includes four short double-helical elements and three loops (D, anti-codon, and T loops). Further hydrogen bonds mediate the characteristic L-shaped molecular structure. tRNAs have two regions of fundamental functional importance: the anti-codon, which is responsible for specific mRNA codon recognition, and the 3' end, to which the tRNAs corresponding amino acid is attached (by aminoacyl-tRNA synthetases). tRNAs cope with the degeneracy of the genetic code in two manners: having more than one tRNA (with a specific anti-codon) for a particular amino acid; and 'wobble' base-pairing, i.e. permitting non-standard base-pairing at the 3rd anti-codon position. The record is from RNAcentral. Lineage: Duplodnaviria; Heunggongvirae; Uroviricota; Caudoviricetes.
CGAGAUGUAAUUCAGUGGUAGAAUGCUUGGUUUGGGACCAAGAUGUCGCAGGUUCGAAUCCUGUCAUCUCGA